This 406-nucleotide long non-coding RNA is filed under the name Zostera marina. Its description in RNAcentral is "long non-coding RNA (ZMAR_LNC002132)". The record is from RNAcentral. Lineage: Eukaryota; Viridiplantae; Streptophyta; Magnoliopsida; Alismatales; Zosteraceae.
UUUUGUUUUAUUCUCUUGCGUUCAUCAAAAGGAAGAAAAAAAAUCCCCAAAUCUUCUUACUCAAUCCAUAAUCAUCUAUCGAUUCUCCCAAAUCUAAACCCUACCGAGUAGCAGACUAGCGGCUAGCUUCGAUUUCUUCCUUCGGCUUGACGUUCUUCCCCAAAUCGUAUUCGCAGAUUGAUAAGUUGAAGGUAAGACCUGCUGCUGUUCUGCAAAUCUGCAAUCGAAAAGUUACUUUUUAGUAUGCAAAAGUUUAAACUACUUCUACCGAUUCUCUUUUGAUGUUAUUAUGGAAUAAGGGAUUCGGGAGGAGCACUGAUGCAAUCGCCGUCGCAUCCAGAGUCGACCAAUUCGACACCUCGAAGCAAGGCGGGGUCAUGGACGGAGGAGACGACCAUCUCGACGG